AGUAAUUGAAUAUGGAGCUUGUGAUUGAGAUGAAUAUGGUGGUCGGGUGGUUGGAUGGUGGAUUUGCACUGCAUCUGGUUGUGACAUGGCUGAUGGUGCAUGUUUGACAUGGAGAGACUCCUGGAUCUGUUGCAUGGUGUGGAUGGUCCCAUGGCUGUGACCGUGGUGGCUCCCGGGAGGUGUGGAGGGCUUCGUACUAUUUUUAUAUUUUUAUUUUAUUUUAUGUAUAUGUUUUUUGGUUUACUAUGUUUGAAUUUGCUAAUGUUCUUAUUUGUUUAUAUGAUAUGUUGGUUAGUAUUAUAUAGUUAUGUUUGUGGUUGCUGUGUUAAUUUAUCGUUCUAAUAUUUGAUAUGAUAUCUUGAUAGUCUGGAUGUGGUGUUGUAUAUGGUUUAAGUUUCAAAAUUGUAAGUUCUGGAA
RNAcentral lists this long non-coding RNA (417 nucleotides) under Androctonus crassicauda. Lineage: Eukaryota; Metazoa; Arthropoda; Arachnida; Scorpiones; Buthidae. The record is from RNAcentral.